Molecule: ribosomal RNA, 507 nt
Filed under: uncultured bacterium
Lineage: Bacteria
Description: bacterial SSU rRNA
Rfam family: Bacterial small subunit ribosomal RNA
Source: RNAcentral
AAACUGCGGCAUGCCUACAAUGCUAGUCACCUCGGAGAGUGGGGCGACUCACUCUCAGUGGCAAACGGGUGAGUAACACGUGAAUAACCUGCCUUUGAGAAGGGGAUAACUGUCCGAAAGGAUAGCUAAUACCCUAUAUUGCCUUUUGUCACUAAGGCAAAAGGUGAAAGCGAGGCUGUCAAAGGCUUCGGCUCAAAGAGGGGUUCGCGUCCUAUCAGGUAGUUGGUGGGGUAAUGGCCUACCAAGCCAAUGACGGGUAGCUGGUCUUAGAGGAUAAUCAGCCACAGUGGGACUGAGACACGGCCCGCACCCCUACGGGGGGCAGCAGUGAGGGAAUCGUGGGCAAUGGGCGCAAGCCUGACCCCGCAAUGCCACGUGAGGGAAGAAGCCCUUAGGGGUGUAAACCUCUGUCAGAUGGAAAGAUGGGACUAGGGGCUAAUACCUCCUAGUCUUGACAGUACCAUCAAAGGAAGGGACGGCUAACUACGUGCCAGCAGCUGCGGUAAU